GCGGCAGCUUACACAUGCAGUCGAGCGGAGUGAUGGUGCUUGCACUAUCACUUAGCGGCGGACGGGUGAGUAAUGCUUAGGAAUCUGCCAUUUAGUGGGGGACAACAUUCCGAAAGGAAUGCUAAUACCGCAUACGUCCUACGGGAGAAAGCAGGGGAUCUUCGGACCUUGCGCUAAAUGAUGAGCCUAAGUCGGAUUAGCUAGUUGGUGGGGUAAAGGCCUACCAAGGCGACGAUCUGUAGCGGGUCUGAGAGGAUGAUCCGCCACACUGGGACUGAGACACGGCCCAGACUCCUACGGGAGGCAGCAGUGGGGAAUAUUGGACAAUGGGCGGAAGCCUGAUCCAGCCAUGCCGCGUGUGUGAAGAAGGCCUUUUGGUUGUAAAGCACUUUAAGCGAGGAGGAGGCUACUAGUACUAAUACUACUGGAUAGUGGACGUUACUCGCAGAAUAAGCACCGGCUAACUCUGUGCCAGCAGCCGCGGUAAUACAGAGGGUGCGAGCGUUAAUCGGAUUUACUGGGCGUAAAGCGUGCGUAGGCGGCUGAUUAAGUCGGAUGUGAAAUCCCUGAGCUUAACUUAGGAAUUGCAUUCGAUACUGGUCAGCUAGAGUAUGGGAGAGGAUGGUAGAAUUCCAGGUGUAGCGGUGAAAUGCGUAGAGAUCUGGAGGAAUACCGAUGGCGAAGGCAGCCAUCUGGCCUAAUACUGACGCUGAGGUACGAAAGCAUGGGGAGCAAACAGGAUUAGAUACCCUGGUAGUCCAUGCCGUAAACGAUGUCUACUAGCCGUUGGGGCCUUUGAGGCUUUAGUGGCGCAGCUAACGCGAUAAGUAGACCGCCUGGGGAGUACGGUCGCAAGACUAAAACUCAAAUGAAUUGACGGGGGCCCGCACAAGCGGUGGAGCAUGUGGUUUAAUUCGAUG
RNAcentral lists this ribosomal RNA (920 nucleotides) under Acinetobacter johnsonii. RNAcentral's name for it is "bacterial SSU rRNA". It matches the Rfam family "Bacterial small subunit ribosomal RNA", at positions 39 to 956 of the family's 1533-position model. The record is from RNAcentral. Lineage: Bacteria; Pseudomonadati; Pseudomonadota; Gammaproteobacteria; Moraxellales; Moraxellaceae.